AUUGAACGCUGGCGGCAGGCCUAACACAUGCAAGUCGAGCGGAUGAAGGGAGCUUGCUCCUGGAUUCAGCGGCGGACGGGUGAGUAAUGCCUAGGAAUCUGCCUGGUAGUGGGUGAUAACGUCCGGAAACGGGCGCUAAUACCGCAUACGUCCUGAGGGAGUAAGGGGGGGAUCUUCGGACCUCACGCUAUCACAUGAGCCUAGGUGGGAUUAGCGAGUUGGUGGGGUAAAGGCCUACCAAGGCGACGAUCCGUAACUGGUCUGAGAGGAUGAUCAGCCACACUGGAACUGAGACACGGUCCAGACUCCUACGGGAGGCAGCAGUGGGGAAUAUUGGACAAUGGGCGAAAGCCUGAUCCAGCCAUGCCGCGUGUGUGAAGAAGGUCUUCGGAUUGUAAAGCCCUUUUAGUUGGGAAGAAGAGCAGUAAGUUAAUACCUUGCUGUUUUGACGUUACCCAAAGAAUAAGCACCGGCUAACUUCGUG
Molecule: ribosomal RNA, 484 nt
Filed under: uncultured bacterium
Lineage: Bacteria
Description: partial 16S ribosomal RNA
Rfam family: Bacterial small subunit ribosomal RNA
Source: RNAcentral